This 465-nucleotide ribosomal RNA is filed under the name uncultured bacterium. Its description in RNAcentral is "partial 16S ribosomal RNA". It matches the Rfam family "Bacterial small subunit ribosomal RNA", at positions 28 to 507 of the family's 1533-position model. The record is from RNAcentral.
GACGAACGCUGGCGGCGUGCUUAACACAUGCAAGUCGAACGGAAAGGCCCUGCUUGCAGGGUACUCGAGUGGCGAACGGGUGAGUAACACGUGGGUGAUCUGCCCUGCACUUCGGGAUAAGCCUGGGAAACUGGGUCUAAUACCGGAUAGGAGCCAUUUUUAGCGUGAUGGUUGGAAAGUUUUUUCGGUGUAGGAUGAGCUCGCGGCCUAUCAGCUUGUUGGUGGGGUAAUGGCCCACCAAGGCGGCGACGGGUAGCCGGCCUGCGAGGGUGGACGGCCACAUUGGGACUGAGGUGCGGCCCAGACUCCGACGGGAGGCAGCAGUGGGGAAGAUUGAACAAUGGGCGCAAGCCUGAUGCAGCGACGCCGCGUGGGGGAUGACGGCCUUCGGGUUGUAAACUCCUUUCGCUAGGGACGAAGCUUUUUGUGACGGUACCUAGAUAAGAAGCACCGGCUAACUACGUG